RNAcentral lists this ribosomal RNA (497 nucleotides) under uncultured bacterium. Its description in RNAcentral is "partial 16S ribosomal RNA". It matches the Rfam family "Bacterial small subunit ribosomal RNA", at positions 28 to 507 of the family's 1533-position model. The record is from RNAcentral.
GAUGAACGCUGGCGGCGUGCCUAAUACAUGCAAGUCGAGCGAACAGACGAGGAUCUUGCUCCUCUGACGUUAGCGGCGGACGGGUGAGUAACACGUGGAUAACCUACCUAUAAGACUGGGAUAACUUCGGGAAACCGGCUCUAAUACCGGAUAAUAUAUUGAACCGCGUGGGUCAAUAGUGAAAGACGGUUUUGCUGUCACUUAUAGAGGGAUCCGCGCCGCCUGUGCUAGUUGGUAAGGUAACGGCCUACCAAGGCGACGAUGCGUAUCCGAGCGGAGAGGGGGAUCGGCCACACUGGAACUGAGACACGGUCAAGACUCCUAAGGGAGGGAGCAGUAGGGAAUCUUCCGCAAUGGGCGAAAGCAUGACGGAGCAACGCCGCGUGAGUGAUGAAGGUCUUCGGAGCGUAAAACUCUGUUAUUAGGGAAGAACAGAUGUGUAAGUAACUAUGCACGUAUUGACGGUACCUAAUCAGAAAGCCCCGGCUAACUACGUG